Molecule: transfer RNA, 71 nt
Filed under: Bundoksia longissima
Lineage: Eukaryota; Metazoa; Arthropoda; Insecta; Blattodea; Blattidae
Description: tRNA-Val
Source: RNAcentral
CAGAUUAAAUCUUUUAGUUAAGAAUUUCAUUUACAUUGAAAAUUUGUGUUGUGCAAUUCAAUAUAAUCUGA